UGAUGUUUUAAUUUUAAGCUUUUAGUCAAGUUUUUUUGAAAAUUGUUGACAAUGGGCCGAGGUGGCGGCCAAACCCAAAAAGUGCGCCAAAAAUUUGAAUCAACCCACAGCCUUUUUUGAUGGCAGAAAAUCAAAGGCUUGGUGUUU
Caenorhabditis elegans is the source of this 147-nucleotide non-coding RNA. Lineage: Eukaryota; Metazoa; Nematoda; Chromadorea; Rhabditida; Rhabditidae. The record is from Ensembl.